RNAcentral lists this small nuclear RNA (195 nucleotides) under Helianthus annuus (common sunflower). RNAcentral's name for it is "U2 spliceosomal RNA". It matches the Rfam family "U2 spliceosomal RNA". Rfam says of the family: U2 is a small nuclear RNA (snRNA) component of the spliceosome (involved in pre-mRNA splicing). Complementary binding between U2 snRNA (in an area lying towards the 5' end but 3' to hairpin I) and the branchpoint sequence (BPS) of the intron results the bulging out of an unpaired adenosine, on the BPS, which initiates a nucleophilic attack at the intronic 5' splice site, thus starting the first of two transesterification reactions that mediate splicing. Lineage: Eukaryota; Viridiplantae; Streptophyta; Magnoliopsida; Asterales; Asteraceae. The record is from RNAcentral.
AUACCUUUCUCGGCCUUUUGGCUAAGAUCAAGUGUAGUAUCUGUUCUUAUCAGUUUAAUAUCUGAUAUGUGAGCCAUUGGCUCACUCGAUAUUAAUCUUAUUUUUUAUGGGGAAGGUCCGUCACAGUAGCUUGCUGCUGGGAUCUUCAUGCGUCGCCUUGGUCUUACACUACCACCGAGGCCUGGCGCACCCCUC